UGGUGUUAAACGAAGCGUGAGAGAACAGGCUUGCCCUGCGGGCAGAUACGGAACGGGUGAGUAACACGUGGGUAACCUACCCCGAUGACCGGGACAACCCGAGGAAACUCGGGCUAAUACCGGAUGUGCCCGACGCUCACGAGAACGUCGUGCAAAGGAAGCUUCGGCCUCCGCAUUGGGAGGGGCCCGCGGCCCAUUAGCUAGUUGGUGGGGUAAUGGCCUACCAAGGCUGCGAUGGGUAGCUGGUCUGAGAGGACGAUCAGCCACACUGGGACUGAGACACGGCCCAGACUCCUACGGGAGGCAGCAGUGGGGAAUCUUGCGCAAUGCGCGAAAGCGUGACGCAGCAACACCGCGUGAGGGAAGACGGCCUUCGGGUUGUAAACCUCUUUCAGGAGGGACGAAGGCCGGCCGGUUAACAGCCGUGCCGGCUGACGGUACCUCCACAAGAAGCUCCGGCUAACUACGUGCCAGCAGCCGCGGUAAUACGUAGGGAGCAAGCGUUGUCCGGAAUCAUUGGGCGUAAAGCGCGCGUAGGCGGCCCGAUAAGUCCGCUGGUAAAAGUCAACGGCUCAACUGUUGAAAGCCGGUGGAUACUGUCGGGCUAGAGUACGGAAGAGGCAAGUGGAAUUCCUGGUGUACCGGUGGAAUGCGCAGAUAUCAGGAGGAACACCUAUAGCGAAGGCAGCUUGCUGGGACGUUACUGACGCUAAGGCGCGAAAGCGUGGGGAGCGAACAGGAUUAGAUACCCUGGUAGUCCACGCCGUAAACGAUGAGAACUAGGUGUGGGAGGUGUCGACUCCUCCCGUGCCGUCGCUAACGCAUUAAGUUCUCCGCCUGGGGAGUACGGCCGCAAGGCUAAAACUCAAAGGAAUUGACGGGGCCCGCACAAGCAGCGGAGCAUGUGGUUUAAUUCGAUGCAACGCGAAGAACCUUACCUGGUUGAAAUGUUGUGACAGUGUGAACACAUCCUAAUCGGGCCAUCCAGUGUNCCUGACUGG
Molecule: ribosomal RNA, 1001 nt
Filed under: uncultured Rubrobacteraceae bacterium
Lineage: Bacteria; Bacillati; Actinomycetota; Rubrobacteria; Rubrobacterales; Rubrobacteraceae
Description: bacterial SSU rRNA
Rfam family: Bacterial small subunit ribosomal RNA
Source: RNAcentral